RNAcentral lists this unclassified non-coding RNA (757 nucleotides) under Leishmania donovani. RNAcentral's name for it is "gene:unknown". Lineage: Eukaryota; Euglenozoa; Kinetoplastea; Trypanosomatida; Trypanosomatidae. The record is from RNAcentral.
GUUCACCCUUACCGCUUUAUUUGUUAUCUUGCCUUUUCGUUUGCCCCUUGCUUUUUUCGCGUUUAUCCCCGAGCCAAAGCUUCCUCAGCGCAUAAAAAGGUUCGUUUUUGUCGCCUAUUUACACCCAGUGUGGCGCAUACGCCCGCGGGCUCCUGGGCCGCAUGCCCUUCCCGGCGUUUUCCCCUCCCGAGGUUCUGAAGGCUGUUUUCCUUAUGGGCGCGCACCUUUUCCCCACCCACACACGAAGACACCGACGGGUCACGCGAUCCUCCGAAUUUGAUCAGCCGGCCGUUUCCCGAUUCCUGGGUGGUAUGGGGUUAUCCGCUUUAAAAGGUGGGCCGUCGAAAGCGCCGGGGCCCGCCCUGAAAGCAACGGCCUUGCUGCCCCCCCUCCUUCCAAACAAGGCCCGGUCAUGGGAAAGAAAAGGGCCGCCCCCACCAUUUGGCCCCGCGAAGGGGAUCAUGCCCCAAACACCCCGAAAUGGAGCGAAAGCCGGGAAGGAUCGCAGCCCACCCAAGGGGAUUAUCUUUGCUUGGCCGUUUGCAUGCUAAAUUUAUUUUCGACUCUUUCCGUCAGCCGCUCUCUGGGCGCGGGAAAAGGAGGGAAAGCGGCGCCCGAGGGCCGUGGCGAAGGAGGGCGGCGGGUCCCCAUGAAAAGAAAGCAGGCGGAACUAGCGAGCCCAUCAGCAAUGCGCCUGGCCAGGGGGAAAAGAGAACCAGCCGUAUGCAAACAAAGGCGCGCCGCGAAGCCUCAAAAG